Molecule: long non-coding RNA, 636 nt
Organism: Nerophis ophidion (straightnose pipefish)
Lineage: Eukaryota; Metazoa; Chordata; Actinopteri; Syngnathiformes; Syngnathidae
Exons: 3
Source: RefSeq, a predicted model, not a curated record
GUUUUGUCCGACUAAUUUUGGCGGUCCUUGAACUCACCCUAGUUCUAAGACGUGUUUUAUGCCACUUCUUUUUCUGUCUCAUUUUGUCCACCAAACUUAUAACGUUGCGCAUGAAUGCUCAAAGGAAGUGACACGUGCAAAAUGGCUGCAAGAGUUUUUAAAGAGCGGCGACUUUCUCCCAGCCGCCUGCAAGACGGCCAUCUUCACACAAAAACAUUCAUCAGAGUCGCACGUGGGUUCCCUCUGGGUUCUCCGACUCCGUUCUUCCUCCCACCUCCAAAGACAUGCACCUGGGGAUAGGCCCCUCCCACCUCCAGAGGCAUGCACCUGGGGAUAGGCCCCUCCCACCUCCAGAGGCAUGCGCAUGCACCUGCGGAUAGGCCCCUCCCACCUACAGAGGCAUGCACCUGGCUGUUAUCAUUAAUUCUUCAUCUAAACGAGAAUAUAUAAACAUCUCAUCAGUCAAUAUCCCAGUGAGAGCAGACAUGAUACAGUAAGUGAAUGUUUAGCACUUACCAAAACUGCUCCUUGCUGGAUCUGUUAGCACAGAGCUUCUAAAACUUGUAGUUCAUCCUCUGUAUACUCAGGCUCAAAAAUAUAAGGAUCUGGACACACAGUCCCUAAGUAGUCUUUGUU